This 528-nucleotide ribosomal RNA is filed under the name Blastocystis sp. subtype 14. RNAcentral describes it as "partial 18S small subunit ribosomal RNA". It matches the Rfam family "Eukaryotic small subunit ribosomal RNA", at positions 87 to 629 of the family's 1831-position model. Lineage: Eukaryota; Bigyra; Opalinata; Blastocystidae. The record is from RNAcentral.
CUGCGAAUGGCUCAUUAUAUCAGUUAUAGUUUAUUAGAAAUAAUUUACUACUUGGAUAACCGUAGUAAUUCUAGGGCUAAUACAUGAGUAAAUCCUCGACUUUGAAGAGGUGUGUUUAUUAGUAUGAAAACCAUAUGCUUUUGCAUAAUAGUGAGUAAUAAUAACCUUUCAUAUCGUAUGUUGUAAUAACGAUAGUUCUUUCAAGUUUCUGCCCUAUCAGCUUUCGAUGGUAGUGCAUUGGACUACCAUGGCAGUAACGGGUAACGAAGAAUUUGGGUUCGAUUUCGGAGAGGGAGCCUGAGAGAUGGCUACCACAUCCAAGGAAGGCAGCAGGCGCGUAAAUUACCCAAUCCUGACAUAGGGAGGUAGUGACAAUAAAUCACAAUGCGGGACUUUUAGUUUUGCAAUUGGAUUGAGAACAAUGUAAAAGAGUUAUCGAUAAACAAUUGGAGGGCAAGUCUGGUGCCAGCAGCCGCGGUAAUUCCAGCUCCAAUAGCGUAUAUUAACGUUGUUGCAGUUAAAAAGCUC